CUAAGUUUCAAGUUGAUUGGACUUCAAUUUCAUCAAAAACUACCUUGACCAAAAACUUUAACCUGAAACUCCCACUUUCAUUUUCUAUGUUCAGCGGACCGUGAAAUUGGGGUCAAAAGUCUAAUUUGGCUUUAAAAUUAGAAAGAUCAUAUCAUAAGCAACAAGUGUACUAAGUUUCAAGUUGAUUGGACUUCAGCUUCAUCAAAAACUACCUUGACCAAAAACUUUAACCUGAAACUCCUACUUUCAUUUUCUGUGUUCAGUGGACCGUGAAAUUGGGAUCAAA
RNAcentral lists this long non-coding RNA (286 nucleotides) under Mytilus galloprovincialis (Mediterranean mussel). Lineage: Eukaryota; Metazoa; Mollusca; Bivalvia; Mytilida; Mytilidae. The record is from RNAcentral.